CCCUUUGUGCCAUUGUUUGAUGAUUGUGUCGAACUAAACGUAUGCAACUCAGCCUUUUAGACCAAGAAUAAUGCUCAUGCGUAUCUUCAUGCCAUAACACGGUCCAAAAAUAUCCUGCAACUUGAUUCCUUAAUACACUAUAGCUUUAGACACAACAUCUUUUUAUUUUGAUUAAUUAUUUUUGACAACUUGCAUAAAUAGGAGAAGGAGAUUCAAGACAUGGCAAGCUACUAAUUGAGUCGAAUCAGCGAGCCUGCUGGACUUUCUAACAUCUGGUUGGACACGAUGGCACACAGCAUAUC
RNAcentral lists this long non-coding RNA (302 nucleotides) under Elaeis guineensis (African oil palm). RNAcentral describes it as "long non-coding RNA (EGUI_LNC017652)". Lineage: Eukaryota; Viridiplantae; Streptophyta; Magnoliopsida; Arecales; Arecaceae. The record is from RNAcentral.